RNAcentral lists this ribosomal RNA (515 nucleotides) under uncultured bacterium. RNAcentral describes it as "partial 16S ribosomal RNA". It matches the Rfam family "Bacterial small subunit ribosomal RNA", at positions 28 to 523 of the family's 1533-position model. The record is from RNAcentral.
GAUGAACGCUGGCGGCGUGCCUAAUACAUGCAAGUCGAGCGAAUGGAUUAAGAGCUUGCUCUUAUGAAGUUAGCGGCGGACGGGUGAGUAACACGUGGGUAACCUGCCCAUAAGACUAGGAUAACUCGGGGAAACCGGGGCUAAUACCGGAUAACAUUUUGAACCGCAUGGUUCGAAAUUGAAAGGCGGCUUCGGCUGUCACUUAUGGAUGGACCCGCGUCGCAUUAGCUAGUUGGUGAAGUAACGGCUCACCAAGGCAACGAUGCGUAGCCGACCUGAGAGGGUGAUCGGCCACAGUGGGACUGAGACACGGCCCAGACUCCUACGGGAGGCAGCAGUAGGGAAUCUUCCGCAAUGGACGAAAGUCUGACGGAGCAACGCCGCGUGAGUGAUGAAGGCUUUCGGGUCGUAAAACUCUGUUGUUAGGGAAGAACAAGUGCUAGUUGAAUAAGCUGGCACCUUGACGGUACCUAACCAGAAAGCCACGGCUAACUACGUGCCAGCCGCCGCGGUAA